This 305-nucleotide long non-coding RNA is filed under the name Setaria viridis. RNAcentral's name for it is "long non-coding RNA (SVIR_LNC000808)". Lineage: Eukaryota; Viridiplantae; Streptophyta; Magnoliopsida; Poales; Poaceae. The record is from RNAcentral.
AUCAAUCCAUGUGUAUAUACUUAGAAAAUAAGAUGUAGUAUUUCAAUUAAUUUGCUUGUACUUCAAAAUCCAAUCGAUGCGUAUAUACUUGGAAAAAUUGGAUUACGUAUUUCAAUUCAUAUGCUUCUACUUCAAAAACCAAUCCAUGCGUAUAUACUUUGAAAAAUUAGAUUACGUAUUUCAAUUUAUAUGCUAGUACUUCAAAAACCAAUCCAUGUGUGUAUACUUAAAAAAAGUAGAUUACAAAUUUCAAUUCAUUUGCUUGAACUUAAUAAACAAAUCCACAUUUCUUCUCCCGACACCCC